AAUAUUGGACAAUGGGCGAAAGCCUGAUCCAGCCAUGCCGCGUGUGUGAAGAAGGUCUUCGGAUUGUAAAGCACUUUAAGUUGGGAGGAAGGGCAGUAAGUAAAUACCUUGCUGUUUUGACGUUACCCACCGAAUAAGCCCCGUCUAACUUCGCGCCCGCACCCGCGGUUAUACGAAGAGUGCACGCGUGAAUCGGAAUUACUGGGCGUAAAGAGAGCGUAGGUGGUGGGGUAAAUGUGAAGUGAAAGCCACGGGGUCAACCUGGGAACUGCUUUUAAAACUGGGAAGCUAGAGUAUGGCAGAGGGUGGUGGAAUUUCCUGUGUAGCGGUGAAAUGCGUAGAUAUAGGAAGGAAAACCAGUGGCGAAGGCGACGACCGGGACUGAUACUGAGACUGAGGUGCGAAAGCGUGGGGGGCAAACAGG
This 424-nucleotide ribosomal RNA is filed under the name uncultured bacterium. RNAcentral's name for it is "partial 16S ribosomal RNA". It matches the Rfam family "Bacterial small subunit ribosomal RNA", at positions 360 to 776 of the family's 1533-position model. The record is from RNAcentral.